RNAcentral lists this transfer RNA (73 nucleotides) under Paractinoplanes ovalisporus. RNAcentral describes it as "tRNA-Val". It matches the Rfam family "tRNA". From Rfam's summary of the family: Transfer RNA (tRNA) molecules are approximately 80 nucleotides in length. Their secondary structure includes four short double-helical elements and three loops (D, anti-codon, and T loops). Lineage: Bacteria; Bacillati; Actinomycetota; Actinomycetes; Micromonosporales; Micromonosporaceae. The record is from RNAcentral.
GUCCCGGUAGCUCAGCUGGAAGAGCGCCGCCCCGACACGGCGGAGGUCGCUGGUUCGAACCCAGCCCGGGACA